Molecule: long non-coding RNA, 1173 nt
Filed under: Suricata suricatta (meerkat)
Lineage: Eukaryota; Metazoa; Chordata; Mammalia; Carnivora; Herpestidae
Description: lncRNA (ENSSSUG00005002112.1)
Source: RNAcentral
UGUUUUUUUUUUACUCUAGAUACAUUGCAACAUCUCCUAUCAGAUGCUUUGCAGCCAGAUGUAAAGCAGUAUUAUGUGCAACAACAGCCCGCUAGCCCUCCCUGACGUCCAGCAAUGACUAAGCCCUAACCUUUGCCCCUCCCCCUUGGGGUUAGCCUUCUGUUAUUUCUGUUUGUUCCUUGGUCUGGUGCAUGGCUUCCUGCUUCCCUGGAGUCCACACCUCGUGAACGAAACAAGCAGUGCGUGAGGGGGUCUAAUGCUCAAAGACAUGAGGAAUUGGAUUGAGUAAUGAAGCAGAUCUUUGCGGAAAGCACUGAGCCUCUCUUAGGUUCCUCUGGAAGGUUCUGUAAACUCCAUGAUACCAAUCUGGCUGAGUGUCUGCACUCGUGAGGAUUUACAGCUUCCGUUUCAGGUCAGUAUGCCAUAAACUCACCAAAACGUCACUCUUGCUGAUGAUGUUUUUAAUUCCCUUACCGUUAACCAGCUUAGUGUGAAACGCACAGGAGACCCUGACUUAAGAGUCCUCAGGGGAUUCCAUCUCUCUACAUACAGCUUGUGACUAGCACACCCCAGAAGAGAAAUCCUCCUGAAUCAACUUGCUGACUCUGGACACCAUUUCAAGGAGCCUUGCAUUUCCCAGCACUGCCAUUGCAUCUCACUAGAGCACCAAGCUGUUCUCCUUCUCUGCCUGGGCUUUUCUCCGCGAUUCAAAGACCUCAGGAGCGAUCCUCAACCAACGAGGGGGCAGUUUGUGGAUCAAUAUCCCAACUUCCUUGAGCUUCCCUGGGAAGGUUCAGAAGCUCACACUCCUCCUUUACUGGAAGAUUCCUGCAAGGAUGGAGCUGCAGGUGCCUGUCUGGAGUGGUGAGCCACUUAGUAUUGGCUUUCCUCCCUUCCUCUCUUAUUAUCUGCCUCCUUCAAGCUUGCUUUCUGGGAUCCAUUUCUGAAUGACUCGCUAAACCCAGCCUCAUCUCUGGGUCUGCUUGGGAGAACCCAAGCAAAAACAGUCCUCUGAAAACUUAUCUAAGAAGGAAUAUGGGGAAGGGGGACCAAUAUUUCACAACUGGCCACUAACGUGCUGCUGUGAGUCAUGCGCCCCACGUGGAAAAUACCAGUUUGCGUCACUAACAUAAAGACCCUCUGGAACUGCUUUUCCUUCUGAGCCAUCUUGAC